GACGAACGCUGGCGGCGUGCUUAACACAUGCAAGUCGAACGGAAAGGCCCUGCUUUUGUGGGGUGCUCGAGUGGCGAACGGGUGAGUAACACGUGAGUAACCUGCCCUUGACUUUGGGAUAACUUCAGGAAAUUGGGGCUAAUACCGGAUAGGAGCUCCUGCUGCAUGGUGGGGGUUGGAAAGUUUCGGCGGUUGGGGAUGGACUCGCGGCUUAUCAGCUUGUUGGUGGGGUAGUGGCUUACCAAGGCGUUGACGGGUAGCCGGCCUGAGAGGGUGACCGGCCACAUUGGGACUGAGAGACGGCCCAGACUCCUACGGGAGGCAGCAGUGGGGAAUAUUGCACAAUGGGCGGAAGCCUGAUGCAGCGACGCCGCGUGCGGGAUGACGGCCUUCGGGUUGUAAACCGCUUUCGCCUGUGACGAAGCGUGAGUGACGGUAAUGGGUAAAGAAGCACCGGCUAACUACGUG
This 468-nucleotide ribosomal RNA is filed under the name uncultured bacterium. RNAcentral's name for it is "partial 16S ribosomal RNA". It matches the Rfam family "Bacterial small subunit ribosomal RNA", at positions 28 to 507 of the family's 1533-position model. The record is from RNAcentral.